RNAcentral lists this ribosomal RNA (253 nucleotides) under uncultured microorganism. RNAcentral describes it as "partial 16S ribosomal RNA". It matches the Rfam family "Bacterial small subunit ribosomal RNA", at positions 524 to 776 of the family's 1533-position model. The record is from RNAcentral.
UACGGAGGGUGCGAGCGUUAAUCGGAAUUACUGGGCGUAAAGCGUGCGCAGGCGGUUUGUUAAGCGAGAUGUGAAAGCCCCGGGCUCAACCUGGGAACCGCAUUUCGAACUGGCAAACUAGAGUCUUGUAGAGGGGGGUAGAAUUCCAGGUGUAGCGGGGAAAUGCGUAGAGAUCUGGAGGAAUACCGGUGGCGAAGGCGGCCCCCUGGACAAAGACUGACGCUCAGGCACGAAAGCGUGGGGAGCAAACAGG